Dreissena polymorpha is the source of this 750-nucleotide long non-coding RNA. RefSeq lists it as uncharacterized. The transcript has 2 exons. NCBI's taxonomy places the organism in Eukaryota, Metazoa, Mollusca, Bivalvia, Myida, Dreissenidae. The record is from RefSeq and is a predicted model, not a curated record.
UUGUUAUGUGCAGAAGUCACACAAAGUACACUCGUAUAAACCUGUACAAAACAAUGAGAAUGGAAUAAAAUUGUUGUAGAACUGUAAAAUAUUCCAGAAGCAACAGUGCUUCAAUUAAGAGGAUAAAUUUAAUAAACAUAAAAUGAUUAAAUUCGUUCAUUUAUUAAUCCAAGUGCAGCUGUUAUUGUUUGUGAUGAUCAGCUGUCUUUCCUUCCCAUCCACUGAGAUUGAGGAGGAAAGCAACGUCAAGAGAUCAUACGCAAUCCGAAUGGGUAGAUGCCCGUUUGAUGAGGUAUUGCGCAGAAAUUGUUACUCGUGUGCGCGACUCUACGACAGCGUUGUUCUGUACCGAGAUUGCUGCUAUGGUGUCGACAGUGUAUGUUCAACAGGAGUUUGAAAAUCUAUACAUGAAAUCAAAGAAAUGCCAUAAGUUGCAUCACGGCUGUCAACCUCAGCGACAAAAACAUCACAGCUUUAUUUUAACAAAAAAAAACACAAACAAACAAACAAUAAUAGCACAACAACGGUUGUUGGUGAAUCUCAAAUUUUGAAUAAUACAUGAUCAAAAUAAAUAUAUCUUUGUGAUAAAAACCAUGACUGGGAUUCAUUGUGUGUAAGUGUUUUCUUCUAAUGCGCAUGAUGACAAAAUAUGAAACCGAAUAUGAAAUAGCAUUAAUAACACACUGUUUCUGUUUUUGAAUUUUUAUUACACUAGAAUUAGUAUGUGCAAUAAAUUUAUCCCCCGCUCCA